RNAcentral lists this long non-coding RNA (109 nucleotides) under Monodelphis domestica (gray short-tailed opossum). RNAcentral describes it as "lncRNA (ENSMODG00000050737.1)". Lineage: Eukaryota; Metazoa; Chordata; Mammalia; Didelphimorphia; Didelphidae. The record is from RNAcentral.
CUAAAGAUUCAGAAUAAUCUACACAUCUACAGAGCUAUAAUCAUCAUCAGAAGACACUGGUGACCUUGCAGAGUCAGUACCAAAGAGAGUCUGGAACCAUGAGUGCCAC